GACGAACGCUGGCGGCGUGCUUAACACAUGCAAGUCGAACGGAAAGGCCCCUUUGGGGGUACUCGAGUGGCGAACGGGUGAGUAACACGUGAGUAACCUGCCCUUGACUUCGGGAUAACUUCAGGAAACUGGGGCUAAUACCGGAUAGGAAUCCUUGCUGCAUGGUGGGGGUUGGAAAGCUUCGGCGGUUUUGGAUGGACUCGCGGCUUAUCAGCUUGUUGGUGGGGUAGUGGCUUACCAAGGCUUUGACGGGUAGCCGGCCUGAGAGGGCGACCGGCCAAAUUGGGACUGAGAGACGGCCCAGACUCCUACGGGGGGCAGCAGUGGGGAAUAUUGCACCAUGGGCGGAAGCCUGAUGCAGCAACGCCGCGUGCGGGAUGACGGCCUUCGGGUUGUAAACCGCUUUCAGCAGGGGCGAAGCUUGUGGUGACGGUACCUGCAGAAGAAGCACCGGCUAACUACGUG
This 465-nucleotide ribosomal RNA is filed under the name uncultured bacterium. RNAcentral's name for it is "partial 16S ribosomal RNA". It matches the Rfam family "Bacterial small subunit ribosomal RNA", at positions 28 to 507 of the family's 1533-position model. The record is from RNAcentral.